GUACCUAAAUAGUCGAUAAUUAAUUUAGUAAAAAAACUUAAAAGAACAGCCUAUAAAUUUAAGAAGGAAAAAUUACUGAACAAAACAUCAAACUAUAUUGCUAUAAAAUACUACAUCAACACAACUUGAAAGAAUAGCCUAUAAACAAAAUAAGGAAAAAUUUCCUAUAGAAAUGUCAGUGGCUGAAAUACAUAUGACUACUAUAACAGCACCAUAAUGUUUCUCUCAAUGAACAACAACAACAUGAACUAAUUAUUCUUAUACGUGACACAUCAGCUAGUAACUUAGUUUAGUAAUGUUUUUGUCCCUUCGACCUUUUGUCCAUUCGGCCUUUUGUCCCUUCGACCUUUUGUCCAUUCGACCUUUUGUCCUUCGACCUUCUGUCCUAAAGCCAUCAAAAUAUGCUUUUAUUGAGCUAUUUCACUCUGCUCGGGUUUACACUAAGUGUAAGUCUUCUCUCGGUUGGUAGUGAAUGUUCUGUUCUAGUCGCUCCAUCACGAAUGGUGGUUUGUUAUCUGCUAUUUGAUGUAUGGAAAAGCAGUUUUUUUUUAUGUGAUUCACUCGCAAUUAAUAUAUGUAUUAUCAAAUAUUGCUGCUUGACAUAGACCUUAGAAAACGAAAAUAAAGGGCAUUUAAGAACCUCAAAAGUGGGUAACUUUGCAAAUGUAGCAGGGGGCUGAACCCGAUUCAAAUCUUGCAUGCUGUACUAUUUUGUGCUUGUAUGGUUAACUUAUUCGCAAAUAAAAUAUGAGACUAUUCACCAGGCCAGUUGUUCAAGAGAACCGUAAUCCGGAAAUACUUUGUAAAAAAUAUUGAAUAUUUCUCCAGUGGUAAUUGUGAUAACUCAAGUCAAGUUUAUGUUACAAUACCUGUUAAGAUUAGAAAUAUUUCAACACAAUAUUCAAAUUUAAACUUCGCUAUAGAAUCCAGCUUCUACCAUAAUUGCGUAUUGCAACGCACUCUCACAUUCUAUUGUGUAAAAACGCACUCGCAUUCCAUAAGCUAAUUAGGCGAUUUUGUGCUUCCUGCUUUUUCACUAUCGCCCAACCAGACCCGUCACCAGCACAGUAGUGUAGAUAGCCAUAGUUAUAAUAAAGCAACCAUAGUGAACUGACCCAUACAUGCAAUAAAGUGCCUUCUCGUGCAAAUAAAUUCGGGUUUACGAUCAGUAAUCGCGUCGUUGUUUGUGGUAAAGUAAUCUACCGAAAUUUACGCCCGUGAUUUUGACCCCGUACAGAACAUUUUGAUGCCGUGACCAGGAUCACGGGUAUGUGAAUAUCACUUUCUGGAUCGUGUACUUCGACGCUAACACCUAACCCCAUCACCGGUCGAAAGUAUUUCCCAAAGGAUUGCAGUACCGUACAUAAUACAAGGCCUGUUUUUGGACAGGUACAUUCCAUUUCUGGUGUGAUUGCUGCUGGGAGACACGAGGUUGUUGCUGCUGCUGCAGUGAUAUGAUAAAUAGUACCACCGCCGGUGCUAAAGUGAAUUCAAUUAUCCAAUCAUUGGUCUGCUGAGCCGCUUUGUAUGCAGCGGAUAGUCCACGUCCGUGGAUCAACAUCGUGUUCGAGGUUCCUGCUAUUAAUAUAACACAAGGCCUGUCUUUGGACAGGCGCAGGUGAGUGUCUGUCCAAGUGUUUUAUACCUCCCCCUUCGGUACUUCCUGGGUCCUCCCGAUCAUUACAGCUCCCAUUUGGAAGUCGUCCAGCGCACACAAUGUCGGAGAAGAAGAGGAAGCAGAAGGAGCUCAAGCGUCGGAACAUCAUGGACUCGAUCGCCCGCAUCGAUGAGUUCCUGACCAACUUCAAUCCCGAACGAGACACCAAGGAGGUAGAGAUACGAUUGGCUAGAUUGGACAAGCUGAUGGAGAACUUCGAGGACAUUGAAGGUGAAUAGGAUACUGUUUGUGGAGAAAUUUAUUCACAAAUACUUCAGAAAUACAUGCACGAGCUUCUGUAGCAAUCCUUAAAGAAAUAUCCCAAAUAAUGAAAUUUGUGAG
Molecule: long non-coding RNA, 1999 nt
Organism: Aedes albopictus (Asian tiger mosquito)
Lineage: Eukaryota; Metazoa; Arthropoda; Insecta; Diptera; Culicidae
Exons: 2
Source: RefSeq, a predicted model, not a curated record